GACGAACGCUGGCGGCGUGCUUAACACAUGCAAGUCGAACGGAAAGGCCUGCUUUCCCUUGUGGAUUGCGGGUACUCGAGUGGCGAACGGGUGAGUAACACGUGAGUGAUCUGCCCCCAACUUGUGUAUAAGCCUGGGAAACUGGGUCUAAUUCCCGAUAGGACUGCAGGGUGGUGCCUGUGGUGGAAUAUGAUAUUCUAGUGGUCGGGGAUGAGCUCGCGGCCUAUCAGCUUGUUGGUGGGGUAAUGGCCUACCGAGGCGGCGACGGGUAGCCGGCCUGGGAGGGUGGGCGGGCUCAUUGGAACUGAGAUACGGCCCGGGAUCCUACGGGAGGCCGCAGUGGGGAAUAUGGAGCAGUGGGCGGAAGCCUAAUGCGGCGACGCGGCGUGGGCAAUGACGGCGUUCGGGUUGUAAACUCCUUUCGACCGCGAGGGAGCCACCUGGAUGGAGGGGUAGUGACGGUAGUGGUAGAAGAAGCACCGGCUAACUACGUG
This 494-nucleotide ribosomal RNA is filed under the name uncultured bacterium. Its description in RNAcentral is "partial 16S ribosomal RNA". It matches the Rfam family "Bacterial small subunit ribosomal RNA", at positions 28 to 507 of the family's 1533-position model. The record is from RNAcentral.